Acanthaster planci (crown-of-thorns starfish) is the source of this 552-nucleotide long non-coding RNA. The record is from RefSeq and is a predicted model, not a curated record. Lineage: Eukaryota; Metazoa; Echinodermata; Asteroidea; Valvatida; Acanthasteridae.
UGUCAACAAAGUGCUAACAAACAUGCUAAUAAAAACCACCCUGUCAAAGCUUCACCAACAUCACAAUUCAUCGAAAUAUUUGAGAGUUUGCACGCUUGUUUUAGUGUGGUGUAUAUUUUCCUGGUGAUAAAAGAGUGCAGGAUUUGACACAGAUUCAUUAAUUAGUGUGAACGAAUCCAUUUCCGAAAAGUUCCAACCCAGCUCACCGACAAAGCCGAGUUUGAAGAUGAAAUCAGCUGCGUUUAUCGCACUGACCGCUGCCAGUUGCUUGGCCACUGCAGCUUUCGCCUCGUCAUCGAUGAAGGUCGAGGAUCACACAGCAAUGGGGGACUGGGACACUCUCUACCCAAGAUACCCAGCCUGCCGUAGAGGGCGCGAGUUUGCUAUCGUGGUACCCGAAACUGAGCGCGUGACUGGACAGAUGUACUAUGAACGUGUGAAGUCAGAUGGGAAGGUCAAGUAUUACUUCUGUGCAUCCUGCUCUGUCUGCGCAAACUAUGGUUUGGCAACAGCCUCGCCGUGUGCCGAACGUACAAACACAGAAUGUUCUCU